This 269-nucleotide long non-coding RNA is filed under the name Elaeis guineensis (African oil palm). RNAcentral describes it as "long non-coding RNA (EGUI_LNC026894)". Lineage: Eukaryota; Viridiplantae; Streptophyta; Magnoliopsida; Arecales; Arecaceae. The record is from RNAcentral.
GGGUGCUGGACCAAGUUUCAGAUUUUCUUGGAGCUGCAUAUGUCUUGGAGUUGAUGCCUUGAGGCUUAAAGUCUUCUUUCUGUUGUUGGCCUUGGGCAUUUGACCCAAUUUUUGUGAGAUCUCUCCAACUGCUCCCUCUUUGAUUGGUUAGCUUUACUUCUAUCCUGCUUCUGUGGACUAAUCCUCUUCAAGCCUUUAUCUUUUUCUUAGUAAAUUACGUAUUAUAUUCAUUUCUUUAUAUUAAUAGAGCUUGGGUGGCUUCAGCCUCC